CUAGCUAAAGUGCGCCUUAGAAUCGGAGAUCGCGCAUGGACGACAAAAGAAGAAGGUGAACGCACCUGAAACUUCAGUAAUGGGGGUCGUCGGUGAACUCGGUGAGCUGAGCAAGUAGAUGGGGAAGAAACCAAUGGAACAAUGGCCACCCCUGAUUACGGAGGUGACCCCCAAUUCCAAUGGAACAGUAGCUGUGGCGAACACUACUAGAUCUUAGAAGGAUAAAGAAUUAGGCAUGCAAGACCGAUUGGAGGGUAGUUUGGAGAAAUCCCCUGUUCUGGUGAAUGCACAAAGGAAGCUUGACUAUCUGCAGAUUCAGAUAAAAAAAGGUCGAAUCUUUUUGCUACAAAUUGUAUGUUUGCUAAAGGUAUGAACCUUAGCUAUAUGGCAUCAAUUAUGAAGAAUUGAGAAAAUGUCAUUGAACUCAACAAGCAGGAUGUUAAUCGCACAACAGAGGAAUAAAAAUAGGCCCCCAUUUUGUAUGCUGUAGGGAAGUCACCUACUAUAGCUACGAUUGAGCGAUACAUUGCCUUUCAGGUGAACACUGUUAGUAAACCCAAGGUUUACUACCAUAAUGAUGACUAUUUUUUAGUGAAAUUUGAGAGUCUGGAUGAUCUUAAUGAGCUGCUUUACGCAUGGCCAUAUAUGUUGAACAAUCAACCUAUUAUAAUAAAAAAGUGGAGUGCUGACUUUGAUUUUAACAAAGAGGUGUUGCAAACUAUUCCGAUAUAGAUAAAAUACCUAAAUUUUCCUUAGAAUAAGUAGUGCCCUAGGGGUACCUCUUUAUGCAGAUGAGUGUAUAACAAAGCUGGAACGAAGAUCAUAUGUUCGGGUGCUUGUAGAAAUGGAUGUUGCAAGGAAACUUCCACAGAAGAUAAAAAUAAUAGAUCAUAAUGGUAGGGUAUUUGAUCAGGUGGUGAAGUAUGAAUGGAUAUCAAAAUAUUGCUAGAAGUAUAUGUAAGUUGGGCAUAAAUGCCAUGGUAAGGAGGAAAGCAAAGACAAAGAUACUCCUAGAAUGGUCCAAAAAUAGCAAAGGAAGCCUAAUAAAAAUUAUAAGACCAGGUACUUCAAAGAAGAAUAGUGAUUUAGUAAAUCAACAGACACAGGUGAAGGUUGAGGAUUCCUGGCAGCAGAUGACAACAAAGUCAUCUAAAGGAGUAGUAAUACCAAGUAUAUUACAAGCCAUGUCAAUAAAUAUUGGUUUUGAGUCCCUUGCUACAACUGAUGAAAGUGUUAAUAUUGACAUAAGUCAUAGACUGCAGAAGAAGGGUGUUAGAGGUACCAGUAUAAAGUUUGUUCAAUGACUUUGAUAACUUGGAACACUGGGGGAUUAAAUAAACUUCAUAAACAAAAGGAGAUGAAAUUAUUUUUGAAGGUUAAUAAAGUUAGCAUUAUUGCUAUCAUAAAACAUAAAGUAAAGGAGAAUAUAGCUAGUAGAAUUAUCCAAAAAAUUGCACCGGGUUGGUUAUAUGCAUCUAACUAUGAGUAUUCUAAUAAAGAGAAAAUUUGGCUGGUGUGUAAUCCUCAUGCUAUAGACUGUCAGAUAAUGUACAAGACUGAUCAGCUUAUUCAAAGCAGGAUUUAGGUGAAGGGAGUGAUAUACUUUUUUGUUUUGUAGCAGUGUAUGGUCUAUACACUAUACAUGAUAAAGUGAAAUUGUGGUCAUAUUUGAGGUUGAGGGUAACAAAUGCAUAGAUGCCUAUGUUAUGUAUGAGAGAUUUCUCUACCAUGCUAACUUGUGAUGAGAAGUCCAGUGCAAGAGGUAAAAUUAAACACUGCAGAUUUUCUUGCUGAUUCACACAUGAUAAGAGCUGAAGGCUAUUGGUACGGAUUAUACAUGGAUAAAUGGGCACACUUGUAGUAGAAUUGAUCGAGCAUUAGUGAAUGCUACAUAUGUCUACUAUGGAGUUACAUAUAAUGCGGCCAGGGAUAUCACAUCAUUCUCUUUUAAGAUUAAAGUUCGGUUAGGAGUGUAGAGGAUUUGCUAAAGCUUUUAGGUUCUUUAAUUGCCUUAAAGAGCAUCCUGAGUUCAUAUACAGAGUUAGUGAGGCAUAAAAGAUAUGGCGCAAUUUGAAAAGAGUUAAAUGCAGACUCAAGCAACUAAAUAGCUCUAAAAUUUAAAAUGUAAGGGAGAAGGUUACUGAUUUGAGAGGCCAACUCAAUAGGAUCUAAGAAGAAAUGAAUGAUCACAUAACAGUUGAGUUCCAUAGAAAACAUGAGCAAGAUUUCAGAUAGCAAAUAGAAAAGUAGAGUUUGAUUGAAGAGAGUGCAAUGCACAGAAGUCAAAAGUUCAAUAGUUGAGAUUAGGUGAUGCUAAUACCUCUUAUAUUCUUUCCUAUAUGAAGAAUAAUAUGGCUUAAAAUACAAUUACUAGCUCAUUGACUGAUGAGGAGUUAGAGUGCAUGCACAAGAGGACAUUGAACAUAAGGUCACUACUUUUUGUAAAGGACUGCUGGGUCAUUCAACUACUUGUCUGCCAAGUGUUAAUGUGAAUAUAAUGAAACUUGAGAAUGUUUUGAGCAAGGAACAAAUAACUUUUUCUAGCACAACCAGUAAUUGAGAUGGAGGUAUUCACUGCUUUACAGGCUAUCAAUGACUUAAAGGCACCAGCCCAUGAUGGUUAUAAUGAAGUUUUCUUUUAAAAAAAGCAUGGUUAGUGGUAGGCAUAGAUAUCAUUGAUGUAGUCUUAUUGUUCUUUAGCACCUAUAAAAUGUAUAGUCCUAUCAACUGUACUUCAGUUUCUCUUAUACCUAAGGUGGAUAAUCCUACAACAAUUGGUGAGUACUGACCUAUCUCUUGUUGUUCGACUAUAUAUAAGAUCAUUUUCAAGGUGAUUACAUCCAGGCUACAAUAGGUGGUGAGUUUCUUGGUGGAUACUAGUCAGACAACCUUUGUGCCUGGUAGAGUAGUGAAUAAAAAUAUCAUACUUAGUCAUGAAUUAGUGAAAGGAUAUGAAAGAAAGGGUAUCUCAAAGAGAUGUAUGAUUAAGAUUGAUAUGGAGAAGGCUUAUGCCUCCUUGGAGUGGAAUUUCUUAGAACAAAUUCUAGUAGAGUUAAAAUUUCCUAAACUGGUCAUGAAAUGGAUUAAACGAUGAGUUGCAACUGUUACUUACUCAGUGAUGUUAAUGAAAAAGUCACUAGACCUUUUCAUGCUUAGAUGAGAGUUAGGCAAGGAGAUCCAUUGUCUCUUUAACUAUUUGUAUUAGCUAUGGAUUAUCACACCAAGAUACUUAAGACCUUGCAUAACAAUAUUGAAUACCAUUAUUAGAUCUUAGACCUUCUACGAUUUGAUUUUUAUACUUUUUUCAUAAUUUACGGUGAUUUUUUAGUUGAUUUAUGAUAAGGAAUGGUAAUGGGACUAUUAAGAAGUGUUUUGGAAUUUUUGAAACGCAUUUGGGGUUAUUUCGAGACCCCAAACUAGUGAGGGUUCGGAUAAGAGCAUGCCACACUCUGGACAUGCCGCGAUAAGGGCAUUCCAUACCCUUGGAGGGGCGCAAUAAGGGCGUGCCACGCCUAAGGAUGCACCAUGCCCAAUGGAGCACGACAUCCAAGGGCGAAAAAAUGCAGUUUUAUUUUUUGUAGUUUGGGGUCAAGGGCUUUUUGGUCUUUUAACUAUCAAACGACUUCUCAAUCAUAUAUAACAUAAUUCCCACCCUUAUAAUUUAGAUUAAAAUGACUUCUCUUCUCCCAUACCCUCAAAAGCAUAAAAGAAGAGUUUUCAUCAAAAUUCAAGCUUGCAAGGUCCUAAUUUGAGUUUUUCUCAAGAAAUUCAACAAGUUCAGGUAUGUGGGGUUUGAAAAAGGAUGUUCUUUCAUCCUUGUACCCAAAACUUGAGUUUUUACAUGAGUUUUGAAGAAUUAAUAACUAGGUUUCAUACUUACUUUUCAUUUGCUUUGAGAUUAUGAUGUUUUCUCAUGAGUUUCACUUUAUUUAACACAAGAUUUCAUGUUCACUUAUGUUUUUAUCCAUGAAAUUAAUAUUAUGAGAUAAUUUUUAGUAUUUUGACAUUAGAAUUCAUAAGUUGAUAAAUGUACAUGAUUUUCAGCAUGAUUCAGUCAGUUUACUAGUAAAAGUAUAUGACUUUUAUGCUUAUUUAAGUUUAUCUACGAAAGUGAUUUCAAGCAUUGAGUUAUGGAAUUUUGAUAUGAAGUUUCUAUGAGUUGAUAAAAGAGUACAAUUUGAGCAUUGAGUAUUCAGUUUACAAGAAGUUCAAGUUUACUAAUUUGAGUUUCAAAAGAAUUGCAAUAUAAUCACAAUUUUAGUUUUGAUAUGAGAUUUCAUAAAAGCUAUGAAUUUCACAUAAGAAACCAAGAAUUUCAGAUAGAAACAGUGGCAUAUUAUAUUUUCAGACUUAUCAGCUUAUAUGCCUAUUUUAAGGUGAACUUCAUAGAUACUAAAUAAGCAAAUAGUAUGAUUUUGGAGUAGUAUUUAGCACUGAGGGGAGAAUGUGGAUUUAGAGCAUCCUAUUUUCUAGAAUUCAUGUGCCACCGUAGGUUAUUUUAGCUUGUGCAAAUGGGCAUGUAGCUUAUCCUAUCAUUUGUAUUAUUCAUCUUGUCCAAUUGGACAUAUUCAGAUGAUCACCAUAGUUAGCCUUUAUACCCUGACAAAGUAUAUUGGGCCCUUUCGAUGAGGGUUUGUGUCAUCCUGCCCUUUCGAUUGGGGUUUGAGCCAUCAGACUCCAUGUUGCUUGCAUGAUUUAUGUCGGUUACGAGAAUCUUCCACAAAAAAGAGUAUUUUAAAAAUGAAGUGUAAUAACUCAUAGUCAUUGUUCAGAUAUUGUUUUAUGAGUUAUCUUUAUGAGAUUUCAUCUUGUAGUCUUAUUUAUGAUCAAGGUGAGUCCUUUUACACUUAGCAUGAUGAUUUGAAAGUAUGUUCAACUUCAGUUUUACUUAUUGCAUUCACCCCCACUUACUCAGUACAUUCCAGAAGUACUAACCACAUAUAUGUUUGUGUGGCUUCAUUAUUUCAUAAUAUAGGUACCCGUUAUAGCCGCAAUAUCAUGAUCAUGCAAUUCACAAUUUUCAGGCAGCAGGUGAUGAGUUCUCUUUAUUUAAGGAUUUCAGUCAAUUUGUAAAUUCAAUAUUUUAUUCCUAUUUAUUUUUAUAUAUUAGGGAUAACUGUGGGUCAUGUCCCAACUAUCUUUAGUCUGUAUUAGUAGAUGCUUCAUAACUAGUGAGUGGGAGUUGAUAUAUUCAUUUUUAGUUUUGUUUUGUAUAACCAGUGUUGUAAGUUUUUAAAUAGUAUUGUAUUGAACAAGUUCACCUAAAGACAUCUGUUUCGCUUAUUAUUUCUAGUUUUAUGUAUUUUAUUUAGUUGCUCGUGAAUUAAGCUAGUAUCAUGGAUUAUCUUGGGAUCACUUGUAGUUUUAAGCACUGUGUGACGUUUAAGGGGUAGUCUCGUGGCAUUACAAAACUUGGUAUUAGAGCACAGUGUUCAAUUGUCCUUGAAACACCUUGGAUUUUGACCCUUGGAAAUUUCCUAAGCUUUGAGCUUAUUGUCCUAGUAAUGACUUAUCAUAUAAGUCGUAUAAUAUUGGAACAAUUUAGGUAACCCUAGUCGUUAGGUAUCCAGUGGGUGGUGGUUAGGUUUUUGAUUUUGUUAACAACUUGGUGGUAUGAGUCAUUAUGGGUGGUGAUGACUCAUUUGGUCGAUCCUUAAUCAAAUCAGAAGCUUGGUGACUUGACUUGGCUCUGAGUAUGAGUAGCUCACUAAGAGACGUGAGGAUAUAUUACAAGUGGUAGGGUUGAGUCAUAAGUUGUCUAGUGUCCAAUCCUUUGAGUUUUGUCUUGUAUACGACUGUACCAUACGGGUUGUAUAGUCAGGUCACGAGUGGGGUCAUGGAGUCAUAUGAUGGACAAUAUAUGGGUGUCCAACUCACUAUUUUGGUAACGACUCAAGGAUACGAGUCAUAUGUUGUGGUCACGAGUCAAGGGGUCGACUCGUAACCACCUGCCGACUUUUUACAGUUUCAAGUUAGAGGCAUUCUGAACAUUUCCUCCUUUUAACUCUCUUUGAUAUCACGACUUAAAACUCCUUUUGGGACUAAAUUAACACAUUAAUUCCAAUCAAACACUCUUAAAAUCUCUCUUAAACUCUCUGUUCAAGCAAAACCUAGGGUUUCUGUAAGCUAAUCAAUUAGGAGCUUUCAAGAGUGAUUCUCUCUGUACUCCUUGGUGUCUAAGGCAUGUUACUUCUCCCUCAUUGUUAUUUUACAAGAAACAUGCAUUUUAAUGUAUGGUUUUCAUGGUAUUGUUAUGGUUUUAAAAUAAAGGUUGGGUUUUUUGAAUGUAAAUGGUCAAAUAAUGUUUCUCAUGGUGUAAUUAUAGUUUUUCAUGCUUUUAGUAUGAUUUUGAAUAUUGUGGGAUCAAUGGUAAUAGUAAAUGGAUUAUGGGGUACUAUGGAUUCCCCAAAUUACUUCGUCAUGGUUUUGAAACUUAUGUGCUCACAACCUGUUUGUGAAAAUGCCUAUGAACAUGAUUUUAUCACAUAGUUUGACUAUUCUUGGAAUCCUUGCAUUGCAUAAUUGGUAAUGAAACUUGAACUGGUUUGGCUUGAUUUCAAAUGGUUUUGGAAAGGCCUUGGUGGCCAUGGUCAUGGUUUAAUGGAAACAAUAGAGUCUAAUUUUUGUUUUUUAGUUUUAUAUGGCAUAAGGAAAUUAACUUGCAAGCUUUAAUUUUGGUAUAACGAUACCAACGGUUAAUGCCUAAUUAAAAGACUCCUUAGUAAAGGGUUUGGAAUGUGUAACUGGUUUUAAUAGGAGCAUAAAAGGGGUUAAUAGCAAAGCCGUGAAAAGUGGAGGUCCCGAUGGGACUAAUACUGAAAACUCAUCUUUGCCGAUAUGAGGUUUGGUCUUAAUGACCUGUGUGCAUUGGCAUAUAUAUAUAUAUAUAUAUAUUGGGGAUUGACGUGGGGUCGGGGCAUUUUCUAGUCUUCCUUGAUACCUCUGGUUCGUGUGGCUAACACGUACCGGGGCCCUUUCAGCAGGGAGAGAUGAACCCAUAUAGCCCGUGGGUGGACAUUUAGGAUAGAGGAGCUAUACAACCCAAGUAAAGGUUUUAAAUGCACUCUAAACCUUAUUCCCUAUCCCCACACGAUAUAUAUGUGACUGUAUAUGGUUAUUUGAUUUGGUUUUGAAUGAUGACAUUAUUUUAUCUUUAUCCCUGAGUUACAUGCUAGCAUUCACUCUGCUAACCGUCUUUGGGUGCUGUAUCCCCAUGUGAUACAAGAACCGGCUAUACUACUAUUCCCUUUGCUCAGUGACUUGGAUUUGGGGACAGCUAUGAGUCAGAUUAAAGUGGUGAGUUUCCAUACUCUAAAAGAAUCCAUUUCAUACUAUGGACUUCUUUUCAUUAUUGUUAUUUCUUUAGUUUUGGUUUUGGCUACGGUUGGGGGCAUGUCCGAAUCGGAUGUUCUUUGAUUAUGAUUAGAGGUUUUGUUGGACUACUAUAGGCAUGAGAGGUGUUGGUAUUAGUGUUAAUAUUUGUAUUGGUAUUAGCAUUGGGAUUGGUGUUGGAUAGAUACUUGGUUGUGACUAUUUGGUUAUGGUUAUAGACUUCAUCUUAUGUCUUUAAAUUAUUAUUAUUUUAUCUUGUGAUAUGCUCAGAAUUAUUUCGAUAGAGGAUGUAGGGCGGUUAUGGUUUAGGUAUUGGGAGUGGUCUCCGGUCUUGGUUAGGCUUGAGACACCAGACACGAAUAGGCCUUGGUUCGGGUCGUGUCAGUCCUAGGAUGUCUGUGAAGUUGUGCUAGUAGAGUCUUAUGGAAAGAUACAAUGACAUCUGUACUUUUCUUCAAAAGGCUAUUAGGCAUUAAAAAUAUUUUUCUUCUUUCACACUCUAGAUUGUGCAGUAAAGUUAUUCUCUUAGGAACUUUUGUUGUUUCAUGUGUUACUCCAAGAUCCUCUAACUAUAACUUACCCUUGAGUUAAUAUACGUAGUAAAUUCCAAUUCCUUUCGAGAUGAUGCUCUCAGAUUUACUAGUGACUUCAGAAAUCACACAUAGGGCUUAAGAAGAGCCCAUUAGUGUGUUUAAAGUCCUUUAAUUUAUAAGCUUAUGCCCUUACCCAUGUGAUUAUAUAGUUAAGACAUAAUAUAGAAUAUAUUUAGAUUUCUCUUUUAACCCUUCAUUACAGAUAACAUUCGUGAGAGGAGAGAGUAUAUACCUAUAUUAUUGUAUACCAUUUUCAUUGAGGGAUAUUGUAACUUAGAGUGUUAUGAUUCAUAAGUAGUAGAACAUCCUUAGAGUUGGAAGUACGGAUUUAGAAGUGUAGUGAUAAGAAAGAUGGGGAUAACAGUUGGUUAAAAGUAUAUAGAUGGACCUACGCAUGCCAUUGAGUUAGUAUUGGGGUAAUAUAUUUUUGGGUAUUAUCUAGAGGGUAGUGAGUGUGGUAUAGAUUUCACGGUGAAAGGUAGAGAAGGAGUUAUUAGUUAAGGUGACUUAAGAGUAUGCUUGAAGUACGAGAGGAGUACUUGAUGGUAUUUCAUUGUGUUAGAAAAGUAUAGGUUAUUAAUGAAAGUUUUGGUGGUUAAGGAUUGUUAAUCUAGGUUUCCCCUUGUGGUUGUGAAAAGGAAAUUGGUUGAUGCUUGUGAGCUAGGAAUAUAAUUUAGAUGUAUGGAUGGAUAAGUAGCAAUGAUGCGUGAAAAGAGGAUAUGCUAGUGGGUAUAAUAAGGUAGAUCAUAAGAUUAUGCUCAAUUAUUGUUAUUUUGAGGUUCUAGUGGACUAGUAUUUCUUGAUGUUUUUCCAAUCAAGAAUAGUGUGUGAGGUUGUGGUUAAUCAUAUCUAGUACUAAAUAUUAAUUCCUCGCUUGGCCAUGAAAACAAUAAUUUUCUGGAGUUGGAGUUGGAGUUGGAGUUGAAGUUGGAGUUGGUGUUGUGUUUGGCCAUGGAUAUAAAUUUGAGUUGUUUUUAAAAUUUUGUGAGAGAAAUAGGAGUAAGAAAAGUGAAAACAAGUAAAACUUAUUUUCACUUUUCCAAAAAUAAUUUUCACUAAAAUGAAAUAAUUUUUAUGGCCAAACACCACUAUUUUCACUUUUUUUCACUAAAGUGAAAUUGUUUUUAGAAAAAAGUAAAAAAAUUUCCAUGGCCAAAUGCCUACUAAGUUUGAAAAGUGGAUAAUCAGCAAGGUGGAAGUAAUGAUUGCUAGGGUUUGUGAUGCUAUUUAUAUGAAAAUGAGCUAGCACUCUUGGAAUAGUGUAUGCAAGAAUUUAAUUUUAUUUAUUUUCAAUUAAGUAUGAUGGUGUAGGUAUAAUGUAGAGGUGUACCCAAGGUAAUAUGUGACUAUAUUAUUUUCUAAGAUUAUUAAGUGUCAUAUCUUCUUACAUAGUAAUCUUGAGUUGCUAAGUGUGAAGAAGACUAGUUAUAGAAUAUAGUAUUCUUAAUAGCUAAGCUGGAGUUAUAGGUUGCGGAUGUUGAGUCUUUUGAUAUAAUUUUGAUUCUUAUGGUUUAGGAAAAAAUAUGAAUUUAGAGGAGUGAUAUUAUAAAACUAUGGAAAGAAGGACAGGUUGUGUAUUUAGUGAGGCAUGCAUGUUUACCAAGAAGUGUAUAUGACGAUGAUUAUUGAAGCUAGAUAAAGUUAAGGGUGGUAUGUAUGAAGGAAGUUCCCAAGAAUGAAGUUAGUAUUUUCCAAAUCUAAUUUAUUCGGGUGAGUUGAGCAUUCAAGUGUAGACUGUUAGAGUACAAAAAUUGUGGCUUAGUCUUGAGGACAUAGGAUAGGUCCAUAGGCGAAGAAUGUCGGCUUAAAUCUAAGGGGGAGAUGAUAGGGUGGAGAACCGAAUUGAGUUUUGUGAAUUAGAUUGUGAGGCAUGUUAAUAAGAGUUGUAAUGAGAUAGUGAUCCAUUCUUACUCUAGCAUAUUCCUUGGAUUUCAAUCAUUAUGGAACCCUAUCCAUAUCUUACAUGAUAGAGCAAGGCUUGUGACUCAUGCUUAUACACUUCAUGUAUAUUCAUGUUCAUUCUCAUCUCCUAGUAAAAGAAGUAAUAGCUUCACUUCGUGAUUUGAGUCAUCCCCCAUGAAUCUAAGAGUUUCAGUCUUAUGUUAAGUAACUUAUGAUAAGUAUGAACUUAUGUUUCUGAGUAUGCUCAGAUUUUAGAAUUCAAGGUACACUCUUAAAGACUAGUGAAAUUCGCAUUAUGUCAUGUAUGUCCUUAGUUUAUAUCUCUUUAACAAAUCCAUGCCUAUGAUACUCUAUUUUUCAGGCCUAAUCAAGUGACAAAGUUAUGUAUAGUAUUCUUUCCUUCUUUAGGUCCUCAUGUUCUAUCACUUCAGUGACCUUCGUUAUGUUAAGAUAUUAGUGAUGAAAUAGAUAAACAAAGGUUUAGAUGAGAGAGAGUAGAUAUCCUCAUUAGGGAAGAUUGUCGUAUGCUUGUUUUAUAUAAGGCUAUAAGUGUGAAGAAAGAUUGAGGCAAAUCUUGGGUCUAUGUCAUAGUUAAUUGAGAAUUCUUGGUGUGUAUUUUUAGGGAUAAUUCAUGAAAAAUGCUAUUGAUAGAGGUAUUAGAGAAUAUGAGAAAAAUUUCUAGCUGGGUUGGUUUCCUACAAGUUCAUAUGUGGUAAUAAUGAUAGGCUUGAAUUUCAUGUUGAUAUAUAAGUAGAUGAAUGCAUUGUGCGCUAGUGAAUUCCUAAUAAGAGCUUGGAUUUAGUUGUUGAUAUUGUAAGGGGUAUUAUUCUUGAUAUGGGAGCUCUGAAAAGACAUAAUAUAUUGAAUCUAUAGUUUGACUAAUAUUAUUGUGUUAUGUGUAGUACCUUGUGGCUUCGAGAUAGGAUUGAACAUGGUGGAAGUAUGUAGCUUAACUCAGACUUUGGUAGAGUAGUCACCUAUACCCAUUUGAAGGUUGUAAGUUGAAUUGCAUGAAACAUAGUACUUAAGAGGAAGAGUAUAGUUUAUAAAAGUGUUGCUAAGCUUGAAGGUUAAUAGUUGUAUUGCCUAAGGUAGAGUAAUCCUAUCCUAGCUUUUGUUCUAUAUGCCUAUAUUCCAAGUUAUAUAGUUUUGUCCAUGUUACAGUUAAAAAAAAAGGGCAGCCCGGUGUAUUAAUGCUACCUCUAUGCGCGGUGUUCGGGGAAGGGCCCACCACAAGGGUGUAUCGUAUGCAGCCUUACCUUGCAUUUCUGCCAGAGGCUGUUUCCAAGGCUUGAACCCGUGAUCUCCUGGUCACAUGGCAACACCUUUACCAGUUACUCCAUGUUACAGUUCCUUAUUCGAAUUCCAUACUCAGAUCAGGCCCAAGAUUUUUUCCGUCGAUUGUUAUUAGAAGUUAUGAUAAGGAGAGUCUGAGGAAACUUAGAUUUCCUUCUUAGUAACUUUUGGAAAUCUUAUCACAUUAGAUAUCGCUUCACAGUUCUAUAUGUACGAUCGUGUCAUGAAUGUUUCAAGAGAGUUCUAAACUCCCAACAUGAAUUAGCUCCUUAUAGUUUUCAUGUUAGCUCAAAAAUUAGUUUCAUGAUAGAAGUUUCAUCAUUUCAGCUCAGUUAUAUCCUUCAUUAGCAUACAUGUCAUGUGUACAUUAUUCCAUACGAUUCCUAUAUAUGUGUUCCUCUUUCAUAUGUCUCAGCCGAGUCAAUACCUUAUCAAGAGGUGAUUUCAAUUACAAAACAUGAUUAGCUUUGGAAAUUCAGUUCCAUGUUCUCCGUCUUAGAGUAAAACAAGUUUCAUAUCUUGGCCUAGCGAGCCCAUACGAGAGUUGUUACUCCUUUUCGACAUUCAUUCGUGGAUGAAUGAUCCUAAUGGGGAGACAAUGUUAGACCUUUAAAUUUCUAUGAUUUUAUUUUUAUACCUCCUUCAUUUUUAACGGUGUUUUUUUAGACAAAUUAUGAUAAGGGAUGAUGAUGGGACCAUUAAAAAGUAUUUUGAAAUUUUUGAAAUGCGUUUGGAGUCAUUUUGAGACCCCAAACCAGUAAGGAUUCACGAUAAGAGCGUGCCAUGCUCUGGGCGUACCUCAAUAAGUGCGUGCCAUGCUCUUGUAUGGCGCGAUAAGGGCGUACCACGCCCAAGGGCGCAGAAAUGCCAGUUUUUUUUUAGUUUGGGAUCGAGGACUUUUUGGCCUUUUAACUAUGAAACAACUCCCUAAUCAUGUAUAACACAAUUUCUACCCUUUUAACUCAGAUUAAAAUGACUUCUUUUCUCCCAAACCUCAAUAGCACAAAUGAAGAUUUUUCACCAAAAUUCAAGCUUGCAAGCUCCCAAUUCGAGUUUUCCUCAAGAAAUUCACUAAGUUCAGGUAUGUGGGGUUUGAACAAGGAUACCCUUUCAUCUGUGUGCCCUAAAGGUUAAGUUUUUACAUGAUUUUUAAAGAAUUGAUAACUAGAGUUCAUACCCACUUUCAUAUGCUUUGAGAUUAUGAUGUUUCCUCAUGAGUUUUACUUUAUUUAACACAAGAUUUCUUGUUUACUUAUGUUUUUAUCUACGAAAUUGAUAUUAUGAGAUGAGUUUCAUUAUUUUGACAUGAAAAUUCAUAAGUUGAUAAAUGUACAUGAUUUUCAACAUGAUUAGUUAGUUUACCAGUAAAAGUAUAUGAUUUUCAUGCUUAUUUAAGUUAAUACACUAAAGAGAUUUCAAGCAUUGAUUUUUGACAUUUUGAUAUGAAGUUUUUAUGAGCUGAUAAAAGAUUACAAUUUGAGUAUUGAGUAUUCAAUUUACAUAAAGCUCAGGUUUAAUAGUUUGAGCUUCAAAAGCAUUACAAUAUACUCAUAGUUUCAGUUUUGAUAUGAGAUUUCAGACAAGCUAUAAAUUCACAUAAUAUAUGAUAUGAAACAGUGGCAUAUUAUAUUUUCAGACUUACCAGCUUAUAUGUCUAUCUUAGGAUGAACUUCAUAGAUAUAGUACGAGCAAAUAACAUGAUUUUGAGAGUAGUAUCUAGCACCAAGAAGGAAAUAUGAAUUUCACACAUUCUAUAUCCCAAAAACUAUGUGCCACCGUACGUUAUUUUAACACUUCCGUAUGGGCAUGUAGCUUGUCCUAUCAUUUAUAUUAUUCAGCUUGUCUAAUAGGACAUGUUUAGCUGAUCACCAUAAUUAGCAUUUAUAACCUGGCAAAGUAUAUUAGGCCCUUUCGAUGAGGUUUUGAGUCAUUGUGUUCUUUCAAUAGGGGUUUGAGCCAUCAAACUCCAUGUGGCUCGUAUGGUUUAUGUCGGGUACGAGAAUAUCCCACAGAAAAAGAGUAUUUUAGAAACUAAGUGUAAUGACUCACAAUUGUUGUUUAGAUAUUGUUUUAUGAGUUAUUCUCUAUGAGAUUUCAAUUUUCAGUCUUACUUAUGAUCAAGGUGAGUCCUUUUACACUUGCAUGCAUAAUUUGAAAGUAUGUUCAUCUUAGUUUUACUUAUUGCAUUCACCCCCCUACUCAGUACAUUCCAAAAGUACUGACUACAUAUACGUCUAUGUGGCUACAUUAUUUCAUAAUGUAGGUACCAGUUAUAGCCCACAAUAUCAUGGUCAGGCAGUUCGCAGUUUCCAG
This 13436-nucleotide long non-coding RNA is filed under the name Capsicum annuum. RNAcentral's name for it is "long non-coding RNA (CANN_LNC013723)". The record is from RNAcentral. Lineage: Eukaryota; Viridiplantae; Streptophyta; Magnoliopsida; Solanales; Solanaceae.